AGUGGUAAACGUCUGAGACAUGCAUCACUUCGUGCUUUCCUCCCACAUUAAGCUGACACGCCGUGAUAUAACUGGAAUACUGUUAAAAGCGGUGUUAAACCAAACUCACUCACUCACGAUAAUUACUCAAAGUUUACAUUUCUUGAUUACCAGCUACAGUAGUUGCUGGAAGAGGAUGAGACGAGGAUGUGACCUGUGUGGCGUGAUUAGAAAAAGUGGGUGAUCUCUCGGAUUGGAAUAUUGACUACUGAAGAACCCUUUUAUGGGGAAAACUUGUUAUGAAAUUAUUGCAAUGACCAAACAGGACAAGACUGUGGUUAAACUGUUAAGUGGAUAAUUAUUAUUCUUAUUUGCUUGUCUGUGAAUCAGAUGAAAAUGUCACCAAAUAUCAGCACUGUUGUAACUAGGGCUGUAACGAUUCAUGAUACCUACGAUAUCAUUGGUACUAAGGUACACACGCUACUUGAAUGGUCAGUUUGUGAGAUCGUCAUACACUUAAAAUAGAAACUGAUAGAGUUACUUCCCGUAGUGGCAGAAGUAGCAUAGCGCAGGUUGUAAGCAUGGCGGAAUACAAGGACGUGGUGAUAGAGGACCUGCCUGCUAUUAAACUAUUACAUUUAAUAACCAUCCCUUCAUUUAAAACUGUUUUGUUCUUGGUUUUUUUGUUAACACGUUUUUGAUAUGAUACUAAGUAAAUGUUUGAAUCCAGAGGUUUUAGAAUUAUAUUUCAGUGAUUUUAUGAUUUUUUCCUAUUUGUAGAUGUAUCAUGAUACCAGUGCUAUCGUCAGUCUGUAUUGUGAUACGUAUUGUAUCGCAAGGUGCAAUGUGAUACGUAUUGUAUCGCAAGGUGCAAUGUGAUACGUAUUGUAUCGCAAGGUGCAAUGCGAUACUCAGCUCUAGUUGUAACUAUCUAACAAAUUAAGCCACGUAAGAAAACAUGAAUUAGGAAAACAAUGAUACUUAGCUUUCUGGCCAUCGCCUCUCAUUUUGACGAGCGCAGUAGUUGGGUUGGCUCAGUGUUGGGCUGCUGCCUUGGCGGUGUCCUAGGUUCUAUUCCCCUCUAGAUAUGGUGUCCAUUGUCUCUCAAACACACCCUGAAAUAGAGCAGGGAUGCUCCAACUCUCCCAUGUAUGACAGACCCAGGAAGACCAGGGGUAGAAUAGGUCUUCAGCAACCCAUACUUGCCAUAAAACCCAUGAGGCGAAUAAACUUGUCAUGAAAGGCAAAUAACGGGAUCGGGUGGUCAGGUUGACUUGGUUGAUACAUGUCAUCGUAUCCCCAUUAAGUGGAUCGAUGCUCAUGAUGUCAGUCACUGGAUUGUCUGGUCCAGACCCAAUUAUUUACAGACCGCUGUCAUAUAGCUGGAAUAUUGCUGAUUGUGGUGUUAAGCAACAAACAAACAUGUAUGAUAAUGUAUAAUGUGCUGCUUUCAUGUUCUUACAUUUCGAGGAGAAGGCUGUUUAAAUCAUAGCGAGCUGCCAGGGUACUGAAUGUGCUGUACAUAUUUUGCUAUGUGUUUUAUACAUGUUGUCAACCCAUGUUAAACAUCAACAAUAUCAUUGAUAAAAGGAUUUCACAUUGUUCAAGAGUUAUUCCUUCGGUAAUCCAAGCUUCAUUUUGAAUGAAGGAAAUUGUUUCACAAUAAUACUAGAAGGUCACGAUACGAUACAUAUCAUGAUGGAUAUGUAUCAGGAUACGCAUAUUUUCGUCAAUCGUCGCACUAAAACUCACGAUGCACCGGUGUAUCGUUUCACCCCGAAAUACUAUUAUAGUAUUUGAAAAGAUAGAAGUGGAUUUGUUUUUGACAAGUUUCCUUGUGAAAACUGGCGAUUGUUGAGUAUAGAUAUUCCCAUUCUAACAUGCCGAGUCAGCAAGUGUCCACAAGCCCAGUGUUGUGUGGCCCUGAACACCAGCUUGUUGUUUAGUGAUCUGAUGACAGGAGGCAGGUCAACAGCUGGGAUGGAAUUUAUUGAAGUCAGAGCAGAAUUUCUGUCAAUGGAAAGAGCUGACAGUUGACUCAGAAUUGACACAUGGCUACUGAUGAGCAAUGGGAACUUACAUGCAGGAUCUUCAGAUGGAGCAAGUGCUUCAUCUGGGUGAUCCACAUCUAGCUUUCAAGGUUAUGUCUCGCGUGCAAAGAAUAUAUUUUUUCAGGUUUAUUUUAGCCCAAAUGGUGAAUAUUUAUGAUGACAUUAUCUUCUAGAAACAAUUUUGAAAUUCAGAAUAAAUACAAAUCUGGGAUGUCUCCCAUUUGAUUUCACUGAAUAUUUCCUUUGAAUAAAAUGAGUGAUUGCAACGUUUGUGUCUGGCGCAUUCAAACCCAAAUGGUUUUUUUGUUCAACUUUCUUACAAAUAUAUGCCUUUCUGAAUAGCUGUUCCCUUAUUUUUAUUCAUCAGUAUAUUUCUUUCCAAAGUUUCAUCCAAUAACAUAUGAAGUAGAGGUUUUCGCAAAAUGAACUUGGCACUGAGACCACCAUAAGUCUCUGUUAAGAAUUGGCUAUGACCAUCUUAAGUCUAUGUUAAGAAUGGGCUACGACCAUCUAAAGUCUUUGUCACGAAUUGGCUACGACCAUCUUAAGUCUCUGUUAAGAAUCAGCACUGUGACAGUCAUAGCUAUAAGAUGAUUUUGGAAUGAGGCCCAUUAGUCAUUACAAUUCAUUUUGUGACAGAUACGCAGGUAUUAGCAGUAGAAACUAACACUAUUGUCUCCAUAGUCCCACUAACUUAUACCAAAACCCUUAAAAAGGGCAAAUUCCUACUAGUCCUUUUGAUACCUUACUAUUGGGCAGUUUGACAAGGAUGAAAGGACUAGUCCCAGUGUCUGAUACUGGUCAUGGUUUCCCAGCAGCAUGACAUUGCCGUGUGUUUUGUCUAUGCCCUGAGAUGACAUGUGUACAGGUGUGUAAUAUUCAUGUGCUUCACCUCCCCAUAUUGUACAAAGCACUUGUUGAAGGAAGCAAACACAGUCAUCAAAAAGGAAUUUGAUUUUUGUGUAUGUGUUCUAUUUUAAUUUUGAUCCAAUUUAGGAUUAUGAUACAAGAUGAAGCCUAUGUUCUUUAAUAUUUGCAAAAUAUUUUUAGAAUUCUAAUAAUUUAAUAAAAUUGUAGUGUUUAUUCUCUCAUGUGCAAGUAGCCAAGACCUUAGGUUGUCUGCAGAAUUAUUGGAAACAAACAAGAGAAAUCUGUAUAUGAAUUAUAAGGUUUUUAUUCAACAAUGUACUGACAAUAAAGACAUGGCUUUAAGGGAGGAUUUCUAUGUAAUGUUGAAUUAACUUCUUAUAUUGAGAAUUUUUGUUCUGAAUUUUGUAAAGUAGCUGGCGUUGGUGGUGUUUGUAGAUUAUUUCCCAUUUGUACAUAUUUUGGGGAGUACAUGUAAAACAAUCUGUUGUAUGCAUAAGUAAUCAACUUAUUUAAACAUACCUUGUAAAUAAACUUUUUUUUACAAA
Haliotis rufescens (red abalone) is the source of this 3445-nucleotide long non-coding RNA. RefSeq lists it as uncharacterized. Lineage: Eukaryota; Metazoa; Mollusca; Gastropoda; Lepetellida; Haliotidae. The transcript has 2 exons. The record is from RefSeq and is a predicted model, not a curated record.